This 465-nucleotide ribosomal RNA is filed under the name uncultured bacterium. Its description in RNAcentral is "partial 16S ribosomal RNA". It matches the Rfam family "Bacterial small subunit ribosomal RNA", at positions 28 to 507 of the family's 1533-position model. The record is from RNAcentral.
GACGAACGCUGGCGGCGUGCUUAACACAUGCAAGUCGAACGGAAAGGCCCUGCUUGCAGGGUACUCGAGUGGCGAACGGGUGAGUAACACGUGGGUGAUCUGCCCUGCACUUCGGGAUAAGCCUGGGAAACUGGGUCUAAUACCGGAUAGGAGCCAUUUUUAGUGUGAUGGUUGGAAAGUUUUUUCGGUGUAGGAUGAGCUCGCGGCCUAUCAGCUUGUUGGUGGGGUAAUGGCCUACCAAGGCGGCGACGGGUAGCCGGCCUGAGAGGGUGGACGGCCACAUUGGGACUGAGAUACGGCCCAGACCCCUACGGGAGGCAGCAGUGGGGAAUAUUGCACAAUGGGCGCAAGCCUGAUGCAGCGACGCCGCGUGGGGGAUGACGGCCUUCGGGUUGUAAACCCCUUUCGCUAGGGACGAAGCUUUUUGUGACGGUACCUAGAUAAGAAGCACCGGCUAACUACGUG